This is a non-coding RNA of Vanrija pseudolonga, 73 nucleotides long. The record is from the annotation of a RefSeq genome assembly. Lineage: Eukaryota; Fungi; Basidiomycota; Tremellomycetes; Trichosporonales; Trichosporonaceae.
GGGCGUGUAGCUCAGUUGGUAGAGCGUGUCAUUAGCAUUGACAAGGUCUUUGGUUCGAUUCCUAACUCGUCCA